ACAUUGGGACUGAGAUACGGCCCAGACUCCUACGGGAGGCAGCAGUGGGGAAUCUUGCGCAAUGGCCGAAAGGCUGACGCAGCGACGCCGCGUGGGGGAGGAAGCUUUUCGGAGUGUAAACCCCUGUCAGGAGGGACGAAGGUCCCGGGGAGGCAAUGCCCUGGGGAUGACGGUACCUCCAGAGGAAGCGCCGGCUAACUCCGUGCCAGCAGCCGCGGUAAUACGGAGGGCGCGAGCGUUGUUCGGAAUUAUUGGGCGUAAAGCGCACGUAGGCGGCUCGAUAAGUCUCACUGUGAAAGCCCGGGGCUCAACCCCGGGAGGCCAGGGGAUACUGUCGGGCUGGAGACAAGCAGAGGCUGGUAGAAUUCCGGGUGUAGCGGUGGAAUGCGUAGAGAUCCGGAGGAAUACCAGAGGCGAAGCGGCCAGCUGGGCUUGGUCUGACGCUGAGUGCGAAAGCGUGGGGAGCGAACAGAUAGAUACCCUGGUAGUCACGCCGUAAACGAUGGGCACUAAG
RNAcentral lists this ribosomal RNA (514 nucleotides) under uncultured bacterium. Its description in RNAcentral is "bacterial SSU rRNA". It matches the Rfam family "Bacterial small subunit ribosomal RNA", at positions 310 to 820 of the family's 1533-position model. The record is from RNAcentral.